ACGAACGCUGGCGGCGUGCUUAACACAUGCAAGUCGAACGGAAAGGCCCUGCUUUUGUGGGGUGCUCGAGUGGCGAACGGGUGAGUAACACGUGAGUAACCUGCCCUUGACUUUGGGAUAACUUCAGGAAACUGGGGCUAAUACCGGAUAGGAGCUCCUGCUGCAUGGUGGGGGUUGGAAAGUUUCGGCGGUUGGGGAUGGACUCGCGGCUUAUCAGCUUGUUGGUGGGGUAGUGGCUUACCAAGGCUUUGACGGGUAGCCGGCCUGAGAGGGUGACCGGCCACAUUUGGACUGAGAUACGGCCCAGACUCCUACGGGAGGCAGCAGUGGGGAAUAUUGCACAAUGGGCGGAAGCCUGAUGCAGCAACGCCGCGUGCGGGAUGACGGCCUUCGGGUUGUAAACCGCUUUCGCCUGUGACGAAGCGUGAGUGACGGUAAUGGGUAAAGAAGCACCGGCUAACUACGUG
Molecule: ribosomal RNA, 467 nt
Filed under: uncultured bacterium
Lineage: Bacteria
Description: partial 16S ribosomal RNA
Rfam family: Bacterial small subunit ribosomal RNA
Source: RNAcentral